Long non-coding RNA from Leptidea sinapis, 385 nucleotides. RefSeq lists it as uncharacterized. NCBI's taxonomy places the organism in Eukaryota, Metazoa, Arthropoda, Insecta, Lepidoptera, Pieridae. The transcript is spliced from 3 exons. The record is from RefSeq and is a predicted model, not a curated record.
GCGAUUUUCAAAACGUAAAUUUCUCGUUUGGCCUUCGGAUCUCGUUUUGUAAAGGUGGAGGUUGUCUUUUACGAAGACAGCUACUUCUAGAAUAUAUAGCGCAGCUUUUUUGUGAAAGAAGUACUGCAUGGCCUCCGCUACUGUUGCCCCAAAAUAUAAUACCGAAGCGAAGUAUAGAUUCAACUAACCCGUAAUAUGCAGACAGUAGGGCUUUUAUAUGGGUAAUCUUGGAUAGAUGAAAUAGUGCGUAUGCCUGCGAGUUCACCCUUUUUACAAUUGUCUCCGUCUGUUGAUUCCAGAAUAUAAAUACACGUAUGAGAACAAACGGAGAGCAGACGGAUACGAUUGUUUAGCCAGAACAGAGAGUCGGCAACAGCAACAACUA